CAGCAGCCGCGGUAAUACGUAGGGUGCGAGCGUUGUCCGGAAUUAUUGGGCGUAAAGGGCUCGUAGGCGGUUUGUCGCGUCGGGAGUGAAAACCAGGUGCUUAACACCUGGCUUGCUUUCGAUACGGGCAGACUAGAGGUAUGCAGGGGAGAACGGAAUUCCUGGUGUAGCGGUGAAAUGCGCAGAUAUCAGGAGGAACACCGGUGGCGAAGGCGGUUCUCUGGGCAUGACCUGACGCUGAGGAGCGAAAGUGUGGGGAGCGAACAGG
Molecule: ribosomal RNA, 268 nt
Filed under: uncultured prokaryote
Description: partial 16S ribosomal RNA
Rfam family: Bacterial small subunit ribosomal RNA
Source: RNAcentral